GAUUAUGAUGUAUCAUCUUUUUAAUGUGUUGUUGGAUUCCUUUUACUAGUAUUUAGUUGAAAAUUUUUGCAUGUAUAUUCAUUAGGAAUACCGGACUAUAGUUUCAUUUUUUUGUUGUGUCCUUGUUUGGUCUUGAUAUCAGGGUUAUCCUGGCCUCAUAGAAUAAGUUAGAAAGAAUGCUCUCUGCUUCAGUUUUUUUUGUUUUGUUUUUUGGAAUAGUUUGAGGAAAAUUCUUCUCUAAAGUUUUCAGUAGAAUUUGAUGGUGAAGCCAUGUGUUCCUGGACUUUUAUUUGUUGGGAGGGCUUUUAUUACUGAUUCAAUCUUGUUACUGGUCUGUUCAGGUUUCCUAUUUCUUCUUGGCUCAAUCUCGGCAGGUUGUAUGUGCCCAGGAAUUUAUCCGUUUCCUCCAGGUUUUGGAAUUUAUUGGCACAUAGUUACUCGUAGUAGUCUCUAAUGAUCCUUUGUAUUUCUGUGGUAUUCACUGUGGUGUCUCAUUUUUCACUUCUGAUUUUAUUUAUUUAUAUCUUCUUUCUCUUUUUUUAAGUCUAGCUAAUGACUUGUCAAUUUUGUUUCUUUUCAAAAAGCCAACCUUGUUGUUUUGUUGAUCUUUUGUAUUUUUGUAGUCUCAAUUUUAUUUCUGCUCGAAUCUUUAUUGUUUCUUUUAUUCUAGUAAUUUUGGAUUUUGCUUGUUAUUGCUUUUCUAGUUUCUUGGAUAUAUCAUUAGGUUGUUUAUUUAAAAUAUUUCUAGUUUUUUGAUGUAGGCACUUAUUGCUAUAAACUUUCCUGUUAGUACCGCUUUUGCUGUAUCCCAUAGGUGUCAGUAUGGUAUGUUCUGUUUCUAUUUCCAUUUGUUUCGAGGAAUUUUAAAAUUUUAUUCUUAAUUUCUUCUUUUACCCAUUGGUCAUUCAGGAGCAUGUUGUUUAAUUUCCACCUAUUUGUGUAGUUUCCAAUGUUCCUCUUGUUAUUAAUGUCUAGUUUUAUUCCAUUGAGGUCAGAUAAAAUAUUUAAUAUAAUUUCAAUUAAAAAAUUUUAAGACUUGUUUUGUGUCCUAGUAUAUGGUCAGUCCUGCAGAAUGUUUUAUAUGCUGAUGGAAAAAGUGUAUUCUUCAGCUGUUGUGUGAAAUGUUCUGUAAAUGUCUCUUAGGCCCAUUUGUUAUAUGAUACAAUUUAAAUCCAAAUUUUUUGGUUGAUUUUCUGUCUAAAUGAUCUGUCCAGUGCUGAGAGUGGAGUGUUGAAGUUCCCAACUGUCUUGUACUGGGGACUAUCUCUUCCUUUAGAUCCAAUAAUACUUGCCUUAUAUCUCUGGGUGUUCUAGUGUUGGAUGCAUAUAUACUUAAAAUUGCUAUAGUCUCUUGCUGAAUCAAUCCCUUUAUUAUUAUAUAAUUUCCUUCUUUGUCUAUUUUUACAGCCUUUGUCUUAAAAUCUGUCUGAUAUAAAUACAGUUACUCCCAUUUAUUUUUGGUUUCCAUGGAAUAUCUUCUUCCAAUCCUUCACUUUCUGUCUAUGUGUGUCUUUACAGAUGAGGCGAGUUUCUUAAAGGCAGUGUAGAGUUGGGUCUUGUUUUUUAAAUUCAUUCAGGCAGUCUAUAUCUUUUUUUUCCUUUUUAAACAAUUUAUUCUUUUAUUUUUAAAAUAGAGACAAGGUCUUACUAUAUUGCCCAGGCUGGUCUGGAACUCUUGGGCUCAAGCAAUCCUUCCACUUUGGCCUCUGAGAAUGCUAGGAUUACAGGCAUGGGCCACCAUGCCAGACCAUCUGUAUAUCUUUUAAAUGGGAAAUUUAAUCUGUUUACAUUCAAGGUUAUUGUUGAUACGUAAGGACUUACUCCUAUCAUUUUAUUGAUUAUUUUCUGGUUGUUUUGUGUAUCCCUUGUUCCUUAUUUCCCCUCUUCUUGUUUAUCUUUGUAGUUGGGCAGUUUUCUGUAUUUAUAAGGUUUGAUUCCAUUCUCUUUCUCUUUUGUGUAUCUGUUUAAACAGUGAGUUUUAUAGUUUUGCAUGUUUUCAUGAUGGUAGUUACUGUCUUUUCACUUCCAGACAUAAGACUUCCUUGAGCAUUUAUUGUAAGGCUGAUCUAGUGGUAAUGAAUUCACGUAGUUUUUGCUUGUCUGUGGAAUCUUUUGUUUCUGAAGAAUAGCUUUGCUGGGUGUUAUAUUCUUGGUUAGCAGUUUUGUUUUAUUACUUUGAUUAUAUCAUGUCACUCUAGUGUAUUAUACCAUGCUCUAUUCUGCCGCAGACUUUAGCAGAGGCUUAAUUCUUUUUUUUUUAAUUGAGAAAGUACCACUGUAUCUCUGGGGUCUUUAUCUGUAAGCACUAGUGAGUUAUGAAUGUUAAAAUGAAAUUAGAGUUACAGCCUUCAUUUUCUUCUGAGAAGUCCAUUAUUAGUCAAAUGUAGAUUUUCUUAUAUGUGACUUGGCAUCUUUUUCUUGCUGUUUUUAAAAUUCUUUCCUGUUUUUGACGUUUGACAACUUGACUAUAAUGUUCUAUGGUGAGGACCUUUUGGAUUGAAUAUAUUUUGGCUUCUUUGAGCUUCUUGAAUCUGGAUGCCCAUCUGUCCCAACACCUGGGAAGCUUUUAGCUAUUAUUUCAUUAAAUAUGUUUUCCUCACCUUUUCCCUUUGCCUUGCCAUCAGGAAUGCCCAUAAUAUGAAUAUUUGUUUGCUUAUUGAUGUCCCGUAAAUCCUGUAGGCUUUUAAAAUUAUUAUUUUUUAUUUUUUGUCUGCCAGUGUUAUUCCAAAACACCUUUAUUCAAGUUUAGAAAUUAUUUCUUCUGCUUGGUUUAGUCUGUUGUUGAAGCUCUCAGUUAUAUUUUUUAUUUCACUCACAGAAUUUUUCUGCUCUAGGAUUUCUGUUUGGUUCUUUUUUAUGAUAUCUAUCUCUUUUCUGAACUUCUCAUUCAAACAUAAAUUGUUUUGUGAUUUCAUUGAAUUGUCUAUCUGUAUUCUAUUUUAUUUCACUCAAUUUCUUUAAGAUCAUUAUUUUGAAUGCUUUUUUCUGGCAUUUCAUAUAUUUCCUUAUGAUUGGGGACUAUUAUUGGAGAAUCAUUGUUUUCCUUUGGAGGUGUCAUAUUUCUUUACUUUUCUAUGCUUGAUGUGUCCCUACGUUAAUUUCUACACAUCUGGUGGAAAAGUUGUUUCUUCACAUUUUAUGGAGUAAGUUUCAUAGGAAAAGACUUAUUCAUGUGAAUGGGUCUUGGGAUGUCAGUUUGGUGAAGGGUGCAUUGACCUUGGUUCUAGGUGGACACAGUAGUGUAGUGUUAGUGAAGUUUCUUUAUCUGUAAUCCACAUUAGUGACAUUUGUGAGUGUCUCAGUGGCUUAGGCUGAGAGAGUUUGUGGUGGCAGUGAUGUGGCUUUGCUGGGUGUGUGCUUCCCAGGUUGCUUCUCAGGUUGGGGUGCAUGUGUGCACAUGGUGGGUCAAUGAACUUGGGGUCUGGCUCAUAGGGCUGUUAUUCUGGCUUGGAGUAUGCUAUCCUUUGAUGCACAAAAAUUUUUAAUUUUGAUAGAGUCUAAUUUACUUUUUUUUCUUUGCUUAUACUUUUGUUGUCCUAGGAAAUCAAAUCCAAGGUCAUAAAGAUUUAUUCCUAUCCUUUCUUCUAAGAAAUUUAUAGUUUUAGCUCUUACAUUUAGAUCAUUGAUCCAUUUUGAGUUAAUGUUUAUGUUAGUCUGUUCAGGCUGCAUGAGAAAAUACCAUAGACUGGGUGACAAGCACCAGAACUUUAUUUCUCACAUUUGUGAAAUCUGGGACAUCUAAAAUCAAGGGGCUAGCAUGGUCAGUUUCUAGCUGGGACUCUCUUCUUGGCCUUCAGACAACUGUCUUCUCACUGUGUCCUCAUAGUGAAGAGAGAGCUCUUUUGUAUCCCCUCCAGUAAAGGCACUAAUCCUAUCAAAGGCCUUAUCCUCAUGAGUUCAUCUAACUCUAAUUGUCUCCCCCAAACCUCAUCUCCAAAUACCAUUACAUUGGUGUUAUAACUUCAAUAUUUGAAUUUUGAGGAGGACAGAAACAUUCGUACUAUGACGAUUCUUGUGUCCUAUUUGAGGUAACGGUCUGACUUCACUGUUAUGUCAUGUGGAUUUCCAGUUGCCCCAGCACCAUUUAUGGAAGAGACUAUUCUUUCCUUAUUGAAUGGUCUUGGCAUCCUUGUUGAAAAUAAAUUUGAUCAUAGAUGUUUGGAUUUAUUUCUGGAUUCAAGAUUUUAUUCCAUUGAUCUAUAUGUCCAUCUUUAUGCUGGUAUCAUACCAUUUUAUUUACUGUAGCUUUAUAGUAAGUUUUUAAACUUGGAAGUGUGAACACUUCAAACUUUGUCUUCAAGCUAAUUUUGGUGAUUUGGGUUCCAUUAUAAUUUCAUAUGAAUUUUAGGAACAGCUUUUCCAUUUCUGCAAAAAAUGGCUAUUGGGAUUUUUAUAUAGAUUGUGUUGAAUCUGUAUGUUGCUUUGAGAAGUAUUGCCAUUCUAACAAUAUGAAGUCUUCCCGUCCAUGAAUAUUGGGGUAUUUUUCCAUUUAUUUAAAUAUUCUUUAAUUUCUUUUGGCAAUGUUUUGUAGUUUCAUUGUACAAGUCUUGCAUCAUCUUUGUUAAAUAUAUUCCUAACUAUUUUAUUCUUUUUGCUGCUACUAUAAAUGGAAUUGUUUUCUUUUCUUUUUUUUUUUUUUUGAGAUGGAGUCUUGCUCUGUCGCCCAGGCUGGAGUGCAGUGGCAUGAUCUUGGCUCACUGCAAGCUCCACCUCUUGGGUUCAUGCCAUUCUCCUGCCUCAGCCUCCCUAGUAGCUAGGACUACAGGUGCCUGCCACCAUGCCCAGCUAAUUUUUUUUUUUUUUUGUAUUUUUAGUAGAGAUGGUGUUUCACCAUGUUAGCCAGGAUGGUCUUGAUCUCCUGACCUCAUGAUCUGCCCACCUCGGCCUCCCAAAGUUCUGGGAUUACAGGUGUGAGCCACCACGCCCGGCCUGCUUUCUUAAUUUCUUUUUUGGAUUGUUCAUUGCCAGUGUACAAAAACUUGUACUUUAAAGAAGGUUUUGGAUGCACAAGAAAAGAUGUGUGAAUGAACAUUUGUUAAUAUAUUUUAGUUAAAAUAAAAGUUUAAGUAAAUAUAAUGUUUAAUGAGUAUCUUCUCUAAAUCUAAUGAGUAUCUGAUUCUCAAUUAGCCAAUCAACUACCCUAGUUGAUCACAUUUGAGAAGUCUAUUAUAUAUUUUAAUAAUUAUGAGUAUCUGAUUCUCUAUUAACCAAUCAACUACCCUAAUUGAUCACAUUUGAGAAGUCUAUAUUUUAAUAAUUUGCAGUUUCAUAAUACAUUUAUAUAUUUCAAAAAUAUAACCAACAUAUUAGUUAGAAAUAUUAUAUUUGUUACUAUUGAUAUGAUUUGACAAUCAAAACUUUACUGGGUUAAAUAAUAUUUACUUAGCUAAGAACUCACAAAGAUGAAUGACGGGAAACAACCUUUACCUGGAAUUUACUGCUUUUGGUAUUCAAAUAAGAUAUGUUUCAAGUAUUAACUGUGGUCUUCUCUUCCCUCGCAGGCUUGGAAAAGCACCAGAUAGGAAGGGAAGAAGCUCAGGAUCUGGGUUUAGGUUCUAACUCUGAACUUACCAUCUAUAUGAUGUCAGCUAAGUAGACCAUUUUGUGAUUCUGAGCUUCAGUUUUUCUCAUCCACUAAAUGGGGAAAAAAAACUGCUUUACAGAGUUCUAAGGAUUAAAUGGGACAUCUUCUAUGAAAAUGCCUGGUACAAGGGAGGCCCUCAAGAAGGUCUGUCAUCCCUUACACUGAAUCAGGACUGGCGUAGUGUGACCUGUGGAAUACAGUAGAAGUAAAGAUGUGUGACUCCCAAAGCUUGGUCAUAUAAGGCAUUGCAGCUUCAGCCUUGCUCUCUUGGAUCACUUACCCUGGAGAAAGUCAUCUCCCAUGCUCUGAGGAUACUCAAGCAACUCUGUGGAGUGUUCCACAUGGAGAGGAAGUGCCGAAGACCCGCACCAACUGGCCAAAAAAGUGAGUGGGUGACCUUGGAAGCAGAUCUUCCAGCCCUACUAAAGCCUUCGGUUAACUGCAACCUCAAGAGAGACCCUGAGCCUGGAUGGCUCAACUGAUCAGCUUCUGAAUUCCUGAUUUACAGAAGCUAUGAGAAAUAAAAAGUGAUUACUAUUGUUUUAAGCUACAAAAUUUGGGGAUAAUUUGUUACAUAGCUAUACUAACUGGAACACAGAGAUUUCUUCAAAUUUUCAAAAAUUUUUUUACUCUCAGUGAUGUUCAUUGUCUUGGAAUGAGAAUGGGAAACAUAGAGGUGGGAGAUAGAAAUUUAAUGGCUUAGCCAGCCAAAUGAACCACAUCAACUCUGCCCAUUGGUGGGGAGACAGAUAUUUCAGUCAUAUUGUCCAUCAUAUAUCCCUACUUUUUGUGGCCUUGCAAAAUAACUAAUAACCGUAAAGCUGUAUCAUCACAAUGCAAUAAUAAUAGGUUAUUUCAGUAAAAAGUAUGUCAAAUUAAAUGUUAGAAGUAUGUCAACA
Homo sapiens (human) is the source of this 6483-nucleotide long non-coding RNA. RefSeq lists it as uncharacterized. NCBI's taxonomy places the organism in Eukaryota, Metazoa, Chordata, Mammalia, Primates, Hominidae. The transcript is spliced from 2 exons. The record is from RefSeq and is a predicted model, not a curated record.